RNAcentral lists this unclassified non-coding RNA (257 nucleotides) under plant metagenome. RNAcentral's name for it is "partial contains small subunit ribosomal RNA, internal transcribed spacer 1, and 5.8S ribosomal RNA". The record is from RNAcentral.
UUUCCGUAGGUGAACCUGCGGAAGGAUCAUUAUCGUAAAACCGAGGUGCGAGGGCUGUCGCUGACCUUUUCGGUCGUGCACGCCCGAGCGCUCUCACACAAUCCAUCGCACCCCUUGUGCAUCACCGCGUGGAUCCCUUUCUGGCUCGUCCGGAGGGGGGCUCGCGUUUUCACACAAACUUGAAGUAGUGUAGAAUGUCCUUUUUUUGCGAUAACACGCAUUCAAUAAAACUUUCAACAACGGAUCUCUUGGCUCUC